Molecule: long non-coding RNA, 197 nt
Organism: Cydia fagiglandana
Lineage: Eukaryota; Metazoa; Arthropoda; Insecta; Lepidoptera; Tortricidae
Exons: 2
Source: RefSeq, a predicted model, not a curated record
UUUUUUAACGCUUUAUGUCAUAAACACAAACAUCACUCAACCGCUCAGGUCCCGGGCGCAAGCGAGCUAAUGUAAACCUUACUUGAAAGUGUGAAGCUGUACUUAACAGCGUCCGCCAUAACACCUAUAGCUGUCCUUGGUGCUGUGGGCACAACUAGUAAUUACCACUUUAGGUGUUCUUGGCGUUCAAAAGGUUA